CCCUUUACUUUUAUUGUAAUCUUGUAGUAGUUUGUGUUCUUGUAACCGUUUCUAUCUCUUGUUAGUAAAAUCGUGUGGUGUUCCUAUCUUGUUAUUGUUGUCCAUCUCGCCAUAUUGUUGCUGUUUUGGUGUAUUUACACCUUCAAUAUCUUGUUGUUAUUGUGUUUUCAUUGUUGUUGUAGUGAAUCCGAGAGUGGUCACCAAAG
This 206-nucleotide long non-coding RNA is filed under the name Capsicum annuum. RNAcentral's name for it is "long non-coding RNA (CANN_LNC005153)". The record is from RNAcentral. Lineage: Eukaryota; Viridiplantae; Streptophyta; Magnoliopsida; Solanales; Solanaceae.